RNAcentral lists this ribosomal RNA (402 nucleotides) under Verrucomicrobiota bacterium. RNAcentral describes it as "Verrucomicrobia bacterium partial 16S ribosomal RNA". It matches the Rfam family "Bacterial small subunit ribosomal RNA", at positions 355 to 776 of the family's 1533-position model. The record is from RNAcentral. Lineage: Bacteria; Pseudomonadati; Verrucomicrobiota.
UGGGGAAUAUUGCACAAUGGGCGCAAGCCUGAUGCAGCAACGCCGCGUGAACGAUGAAGGUCUUCGGAUCGUAAAGUUCUGUUGCAGGGGAAGAUAAUGACGGUACCCUGUGAGGAAGCCCCGGCUAACUACGUGCCAGCAGCCGCGGUAAUACGUAGGGGGCUAGCGUUAUCCGGAUUUACUGGGCGUAAAGGGUGCGUAGGUGGUCUUUCAAGUCGGUGGUUAAAGGCUACGGCUCAACCGUAGUUAGCCUCCGAAACUGGAAGACUUGAGUGCAGGAGAGGAAAGUGGAAUUCCCAGGGUAGCGGGGAAUGCGUAGAUAUUGGGAGGAACACCAGUAGCGAAGGCGGCUUUCUGGACUGCAACUGACACUGAGGCACGAAAGCGUGGGUAGCAAACAGG